Long non-coding RNA from Mus musculus (house mouse), 565 nucleotides. RefSeq annotates it as predicted gene, 54280. NCBI's taxonomy places the organism in Eukaryota, Metazoa, Chordata, Mammalia, Rodentia, Muridae. The record is from RefSeq and is a predicted model, not a curated record. The transcript is spliced from 4 exons.
GGCAGGGAACUGAAGUCUGCAUGUUUGUGUGGCAAACUUGUUGCAAACUGACAGAGCAAACUCAUCAGUCCUGUUCUCUUUCUGUUUAGAAACUCUACCAAAUGCAAACUCAAUUGCAGGAAUGACUUCUCCAUGAUGAUGCAGAUCAAGGGAGGAAGAAAUGCUGACGAGCAAGGCGACACUCUUCCUCUGUGUGCCGCAUGGAUGGACAUGUGGGAUCCUCUUCAAGUCAUGCAGGCUGGCCUGGAACUCACAGUGUAGCUCAGUGCUGGUGUGAAUGAAGCUUGUGAUCGACCAGUCUCAUUCUCCCUGGUGCUUGGGUUCCAAGAACGCACUGACAACCAUGUUCACAGAUUCUUGGCCACCAUGAAGAGAACAGUGUCCUUCACUAUAUGUUCUUCUACCAUGAAGUGCCACCUCCAGGCAAGUGCAAUAGAAACUUGGCCAACUGAGGACUAAUACCUCUGAACCAUGAACCAAAAUAGACAUUUUAUUUUUUAGAGUUGCUCAAACAUUUUAUAGUAGCAAUAGGUAGCUAUCUAAUAUACCCACAGUUCCAAAGCAC